AUACGGAGGGUGCAAGCGUUAUUCGGAAUCACUGGGCGUAAAGGACGCGUAGGCGGGUUGGCAAGUCAGAUGUGAAAUCCUACAGCUUAACUGUAGAACUGCAUUCGAAACUGCUAACCUAGAGUAUGGGAGGGGGAGAUGGAAUUAGUGGUGUAGGGGUAAAAUCCGUAGAUAUCACUAGGAAUACCGAAAGCGAAGGCGAUCUCCUGGAACAUAACUGACGCUAAGGCGUGAAAGCGUGGGGAGCAAACAGGAUUAGAAACCCCGGUAGUCC
Molecule: ribosomal RNA, 274 nt
Filed under: uncultured bacterium
Lineage: Bacteria
Description: partial 16S ribosomal RNA
Rfam family: Bacterial small subunit ribosomal RNA
Source: RNAcentral